RNAcentral lists this ribosomal RNA (589 nucleotides) under Purpureocillium lilacinum. RNAcentral describes it as "eukaryotic LSU rRNA". The stretch from base 244 to 397 matches the Rfam family "5.8S ribosomal RNA". Lineage: Eukaryota; Fungi; Ascomycota; Sordariomycetes; Hypocreales; Ophiocordycipitaceae. The record is from RNAcentral.
GGAAGUAAAAGUCGUAACAAGGUCUCCGUUGGUGAACCAGCGGAGGGAUCAUUACCGAGUUAUACAACUCCCAAACCCACUGUGAACCUUACCUCAGUUGCCUCGGCGGGAACGCCCCGGCCGCCUGCCCCCGCGCCGGCGCCGGACCCAGGCGCCCGCCGCAGGGACCCCAAACUCUCUUGCAUUACGCCCAGCGGGCGGAAUUUCUUCUCUGAGUUGCACAAGCAAAAACAAAUGAAUCAAAACUUUCAACAACGGAUCUCUUGGUUCUGGCAUCGAUGAAGAACGCAGCGAAAUGCGAUAAGUAAUGUGAAUUGCAGAAUUCAGUGAAUCAUCGAAUCUUUGAACGCACAUUGCGCCCGCCAGCAUUCUGGCGGGCAUGCCUGUUCGAGCGUCAUUUCAACCCUCGAGCCCCCCCCGGGGGCCUCGGUGUUGGGGGACGGCACACCAGCCGCCCCCGAAAUGCAGUGGCGACCCCGCCGCAGCCUCCCCUGCGUAGUAGCACACACCUCGCACCGGAGCGCGGAGGCGGUCACGCCGUAAAACGCCCAACUUUCUUAGAGUUGACCUCGGAUCAGGUAGGAAUACC